Molecule: ribosomal RNA, 460 nt
Filed under: uncultured bacterium
Lineage: Bacteria
Description: partial 16S ribosomal RNA
Rfam family: Bacterial small subunit ribosomal RNA
Source: RNAcentral
CCUACGGGUGGCAGCAGUGAGGAAUAUUGGUCAAUGGACGAGAGUCUGAACCAGCCAAGUAGCGUGAAGGAUGACGGCCCUAUGGGUUGUAAACUUCUUUUAUAUGGGAAUAAAAUGCGUCACGUGUGGGAUUUUGUAUGUACCAUAUGAAUAAGGACCGGCUAAUUCCGUGCCAGCAGCCGCGGUAAUACGGAGGGUCCGAGCGUUAUCCGGAUUUAUUGGGUUUAAAGGGAGCGUAGGUGGCUUGUUAAGUCGGUUGUGAAAGUUUGCGGCUCAACCGUGAAAUUGCAGUGGAAACUGGCAGUCUUGAGUGCAGUAGAGGUGGGCGGAAUUCGUGGUGUAGCGGUGAAAUGCUUAGAUAUCACGAAGAACUCCGAUUGCGAAGGCAGCUCACUGGACUGCAACUGACGCUGAGGCUCGAAAGUGUGGGUAUCAAACAGGAUUAGAUACCCUAGUAGUC